GCCACAUUGUCCCUGCAACUUUAGAACCAAUAGUUAUGGGGUCUGUUAGGAAAGUUGCACAUUUAUGGGAACUCAAUAAGCCCUUUCUUGUUGCUUUAAAAUGGCUUCUCUGGUGGCUGUCUUUCCCUUGAGAAAUUAAUUUUGGCAGGAAAUCUUGUAUUUAUGAACCUUAUAAGAGAGAAUAUUGAAUGGAUGAAGGGACCAGAUGGUUCCACUCUUCCAGCCAUGAGCUAUGUCCUAGGGGAAAUAUUUUAAUGCAGAAACAGGAGCAAUGUGUCUCCAGGAAUAUCUCUGUGAGCCUAGCAGCUUUAACUCAUCAUCUGCAAAGUUUAGAUACCAACUGUGUAUCGUAACUCCCCUUUUCCCAUUAGCCACAAGCUAAAUGUUGAAAUAUAGUAAGGUGAGCUAAGUCACAUAAGCUCCAGGUCAGAGAUACUUCGGUUGAGUGGGACAAGAUGAAAUGCAGCUAGCGCAUAGCUUCCCGGAACUUGAAUACCUGCAAUACUAUUUAAGGAAUAAUCCUUCUGCUAUGCCAGGCCUCCUGUUGUCCCUCCAGAAAUAGCUGCUGAGCUACUACAUGGAUCUGCUGAUAGUCGUGUCAGAUCCUCCAUGGUCCCUCUUCUAGAAAAAGGAGGCGUGGAAAAUCCCACUUUGGUUCAGACUCAUCAUGCAGACAUCAUUUUGAUAUUCUGUCUGGAGAACUGUGUGCAGUUUUUGGGCUCUGCAGUAGAAGAAAGACUUUGACAAACUGGAGCAAGUCCUGCCAAGCACUGCCAAGAUGGUUAGGGGGCUGGAGCAUGUGAUGUAUGAGGAGAGUCUAAGAGAACUGAGGUUGUUCUGGAGCAUGUGAUGUAUGAGGAGAGUCUAAGAGAACUGAGGUUGUUCUGUCUGGAGAAGAAAAGGCCAUCAAGGGAUCUAAUUGCUAUCUAAAACUCAGGCUUUUCUUGGAGGUGCACUAUAAAAGGAUGAGGGGAACAGUUACGAGUGGCAACAACAGAAUUCCGAUUAAGGAAAAAAAUUACAAAGAGGUUGGUUUGAACACUGAAACAGUUUCCCAGAGGAGCCGGGGAAUCUCUAUCAUUGGAGAUAUUUAAAAACCCACUGCACAAAGUUUGGAGCAACUUAAUGUAACUUCAGAGUUGGCCCUGCUUGGAGUGGGGGUUGGACCGGAUGACCUCCGAAGUCCCUUCCAACCUGACUUAGUCUAUGAUUCAAAAAUGGAAGUAACAGGUUGAUUGCAUCAGUCUAAAGGGCUCUCAUAUGAAACUUGUUGAUGAAAGACGAGAAAGCAUGCUGCCAUUCCUCGUUCCUAGCAUGCUGCCGUAAUAUCCCAACAUCUGUGGUUGACAUGUGGUAAGAAUCCAUGCUGAAGCAGCACUGAAGCGUUAUGUGGCUAGAAUCUCCAGAAUCCUGACCAUCACGAGUUUCUGUGAAUAUACUCUUUUCUGGAGAAGAAUGAGACUUUCAUAUUCCUGUAGCAAUAUUUGUAUUAGUUGACUUGUUUAUACUUUUUUUUUUUGGUGCUGAUAAGUUUCAGGCUUGUGAUUUUCACUCUAACUUCAGAUAUCUAAAUGACAAACUCAAAAGAUUAUUCUUUAUUAAUAAAACAGUGACCCCGUGUCAGCAGGAGCAUACUAAAGUAUUCUAAAUUGGGAAACUAUGGUUCUAUUGUAUACAGCUUGCUUUUCAUGCUUGUACCUCUUAAAUAAUGUGUUUUGCUCUUCUGUGAUUACCAGUUAUAAAGGGAAUAGUUUCUAUAUAUGACAAUACAACCAAAAAAGAAAUCAUAAACUUUUGCAUACUAUUGGGAUUAUUAAUUUUCUGACGAACAGUUCCUCGGGUAUUCAUUCCACUGCAGGCAAAUAUUUUGUAAGGCUUAACAAUCACUGUGAAAGUUUUUGCGUUUCUCAGUUUCUCCAGCUCAGAACAAGAAUGGAACCAUUGUCUACUACAGCAUCAAAAGAUUUGAUGACAUUUUUUCCAAUGGAUCAUGAUGUGUUUUGAGGUAACAAGGAGCAUCUAAGGAGCCCCAUCCCAUUUGUGGGGCCCUUAGAUCUUAACAUAGUAUGCUAAACAUCCCUUGGGUGUUGUACAAUUAAUCUUUACAUCUACUUCACACUAGCCAAAAUACCAGAUCCAUGGUACUUGACAUCCAAUAUCUCCUGAAUUAAUGAUCUCCCAAUAUUAUUCUCUAUAAAAUUAUGUUAUUAAUUGUGAAACUAUGAUAUUUCCCCUCAAAGGGCUGCCAAUAAUGCUAGCUUUUCUUACUGUCCAAGAUCCUGUUACUCAUAUUAGACAGAAAUGCUUCUUUUUCGGCCACCCAACAGUGGUAACUUUGAAGACGUUGGUAUUCAAGUAUCUUUUUUUAGCUAUAAUCCUGAGGUCUGCCAGUUUCAUUUCCAAAAGUGGUAAAUUUGACGGUUCUAAAUUCAGUGGGUUUAACGGUUCUACAUUGGUCCUAUUCCUAUGGACACUUUGUCAUUCACGAUACACUUUGAAUAGAUUAAAUUGUUUGAAAUAUUUUCCUCUUUUAGAUGUACCUUUAAUAUGUUAGAAAAUAAAUUUUAAGAAGUCUUUUCAACAUUAGUGUUUGUGUACCCAGUACCCUAGGAGCCAUAGUCAUGGAUGUAUGAAGCAAAAACCCAUUUCUGUCUGCCAUGCAAUUUAUAAUCUAAAAGUUGUAACCUUGGUUUUUGCACGUCCUUUGAAUAAAAUUUCAUAGGUGCUCA
Dromaius novaehollandiae (emu) is the source of this 2729-nucleotide long non-coding RNA. RefSeq lists it as uncharacterized. The record is from RefSeq and is a predicted model, not a curated record. The transcript has 3 exons. NCBI's taxonomy places the organism in Eukaryota, Metazoa, Chordata, Aves, Casuariiformes, Dromaiidae.